This 121-nucleotide ribosomal RNA is filed under the name Petromyzon marinus (sea lamprey). The record is from RNAcentral. Lineage: Eukaryota; Metazoa; Chordata; Hyperoartia; Petromyzontiformes; Petromyzontidae.
GCCUCCGACCGUAUCGCUCCGCACGCGUCAAGAUCUUGUCAAAUCUCAAAAAGGUAAGCAGAGUUGAUCCUGGUUCGUACUUGGAUGGGAGAGAAGCCGAGAAAAUCACGUAUUGUAGGCU